Molecule: transfer RNA, 108 nt
Filed under: Lachnellula suecica
Lineage: Eukaryota; Fungi; Ascomycota; Leotiomycetes; Helotiales; Lachnaceae
Rfam family: tRNA
About the family: Transfer RNA (tRNA) molecules are approximately 80 nucleotides in length. Their secondary structure includes four short double-helical elements and three loops (D, anti-codon, and T loops).
Source: Rfam by way of RNAcentral
GCACUCUUGGUUUAGUGGUAAAAUCAGCGCUUCCCACAUCAUUCAUCAACCAAAAUUAGUGAAUUUGUGAAGUUGCGCUGGCCCCGGGUUCGAUUCCCGGAGGGUGCA